This 497-nucleotide ribosomal RNA is filed under the name uncultured bacterium. RNAcentral describes it as "partial 16S ribosomal RNA". It matches the Rfam family "Bacterial small subunit ribosomal RNA", at positions 28 to 507 of the family's 1533-position model. The record is from RNAcentral.
GAUGAACGCUGGCGGCGUGCCUAAUACAUGCGAGUCGAGCGAACAGAUGAGGAGCUUGCUCCUCUGACGUUAGCGGCGGACGGGUGAGUAACACGUGGAUAACCUACCUAUAAGACUGGGAUAACUUCGGGAAACCGGAGCUAAUACCGGAUAAUAUAUUGAACCGCAUGGUUCAAUAGUGGAAGACGGUUUUGCUGUCACUUAUAGAUGGAUCCGCGCCGCAUUAGCUAGUUGGUAAGGUAACGGCUUACCAAGGCAACGAUGCGUAGCCGACCUGAGAGGGUGAUCGGCCACACUGGAACUGAGACACGGUCCAGACUCCUACGGGAGGCAGCAGUAGGGAAUCUUCCGCAAUGGGCGAAAGCCUGACGGAGCAACGCCGCGUGAGUGAUGAAGGUCUUCGGAUCGUAAAACUCUGUUAUUAGGGAAGAACAAAUGUGUAAGUAACUAUGCACGUCUUGACGGUACCUAAUCAGAAAGCCACGGCUAACUACGUG